Zingiber officinale is the source of this 1941-nucleotide long non-coding RNA. RefSeq lists it as uncharacterized. The record is from RefSeq and is a predicted model, not a curated record. Lineage: Eukaryota; Viridiplantae; Streptophyta; Magnoliopsida; Zingiberales; Zingiberaceae. The transcript is spliced from 2 exons.
GCUUCAUCUGCAAGCAGACUGGACAUUGGAAGGCAGAUUGUCCUCGUAGGAAUCAGAACAAUAAAGGUAUAUCUUAUUCUCUAGUAGUUGAAACAUAUUUAGCGGUGUUAUCUACCAGUACCUGUUUAGUGUCCGGACACAAAGGUAAACAGAGGAUUUUGGUAUUAUGCUUUGAUUGUAAUUGAUGUGGAAUGAGGAUUGUGAUUAAAUUUGGAAUGUUUGCAGUUGUGGCUAGCUAUUAAGCUCUAGCUGUGCUGUUCGUGAGGGAUCCACAGCUCCGACAACUUUUCCAACAACAAGCUUCCCUGGUCACUGGUCAACGGUCGUGCAAUUGGAUUUGGGAUACUAGUCGGAGACACAUCUCGACGUGGCAUUAUUUAGCACGAUCGGUAGAUGAAGGCGGGUACUUUUUGCUUUAUCUCUUUAGUACAUUGAUCUUAGUGCAUGAGCUAAAAAUUCAGAUAGUUACUGUGUUCAUCUUGACUCCACUCGUAUUUUUGUUAUGCUUGAAGCUUAUCCACUCGAUCUUUGAGCUACUCGUUUCUGUAUCUAUAUAGUCUCUUAUUGUUAUCCAUAAUAUUUAGUAGAUAUCAGUUACCAGAUACUAGAUAUUAGAUAUUGGAUACCAGAUACUAGAUAUCAUAUACCAGAUACUAGAUAUUAGAUAUUGGAUAUAUAGAUACUAUAUUCCAUGCUUACUUGCUUGAAUGUUGUUAUUUAUACAUCUUACUGAAUAAAUAACAAGCGAACAUGCUUGAAUGUUGUUAUAUAAACAGAAAACAGGUGUGCUACAUCAAGCCAACAUGCUCAGUAAGAUGUAUAAAUAACAACAUUCAAGCAAGUAAGCAUGGAAUAUAGUAUCCAUAUAUCCAAUAUCUAAUAUCUAGUAUCUGGUAUAUAUAUAUAUAUACUGCUGCAUUUUACACAUUAUGUCAUUGCAUGCAUGCCGACGACCAUGUCUCCCUUGUGGUUGAGAGGGUCGUUGGCCAAGGUCGCACGCUCGACCACUCAUGGGUAGUGGUAGUUUGAGCGUGUCGCUUGUCCUGUCGUGCUCCCACUCACUUACUCAUGGGUAGUAAUAGCUGGAGUUGUGAGCAGCAGGGACCCCGUUGCAGACGUAAUUAGUUAGCUACUAUGCAACUGUCCCCUCGGCCACUCGAGAGUAGUGGUAGUUGGAGUGGUGUACAGUCUGUCAUUGUCCCGGUCUCUCGACCAUACAGGGAUCCUGGUACAGGGGGAUGGGAGGGAGUGACCAUCCGUGCAUACGCUAUUAUUAUUAUACCUGCUGAUACUGUUGUUUUCUUAUGCUGCUAUUGCUUAUUUAUGCUGUUGUUGCUUACUUAUGCUGAUAUGCUCACAUAGGUUGGAUAUAUACCUGAGGUAUGAGUUUAGACACUGAUUUUCUUAUUGGUAAUAUGUAUAUAUCUCACAUGUUAUCCAUGUAGUUAUGAGCAGUACUGUAGCAGGUCUUUGCUACACCUGACAUUCUAUUACUAGCCUAGGAUAUGGUUUCAGGUAUGGACACUUAUUAUGAUAUCACUGUUGUAUCUGAUAUUUUCCCUACGAGACUGUAUACCUUUGUAUCUCUAAUUCUUUAUUAUGUUCAUGCACUAUCUGUCUAUUAUCCACUGAGCCUUAGUACUCACCACCCUGUAAAUUGAUUUAUUUUGACAGGUAGCAGGUAAAGGAUUGAUGGAGUCGCUUGGAGAUCCUGUCUGCCAGUCCCAUGUCAUAUCGAGUUUCUCCUUUCGUUAGUGUUUCCUUUCGUAUUGUUGGUUUUGUACUUGUUCUUGUAUUUGUGUAUUCUUUUAUAUGGAGUUUUGUUUUGUGGUAUCUUGUGUUUGGUUGGGUGAUGAUGUGUCAAGCCGAGCCGGCUCGCAGUGAGUUGUUUUGUUUAUUUCAUGCAUGUUCGUUAUUUUAUUGUUUUCACUGUGUUAUGUU